Nothobranchius furzeri (turquoise killifish) is the source of this 1933-nucleotide non-coding RNA. NCBI's taxonomy places the organism in Eukaryota, Metazoa, Chordata, Actinopteri, Cyprinodontiformes, Nothobranchiidae. The record is from RefSeq and is a predicted model, not a curated record.
GGGUAAGCCACGAAAGUAGCUCGCGAGCAACUGAGGAGACAGAAAAAUGGGAACGAUGAUGCAUUCUGGAUAGUUGGAGUGUCGAGAAAACCGGAUAUUGGAUGACUUUUGAACGUUUUGAAGUCUCCUCGACGAGGGAGUGGAGAGCCGGACCAGAACACAUCAUCUCCUUUUCCAAGGGUGAUGAACGAGAUGUACUGAACCUCACUGAGGAAACAACACCGGCAGGAUUCAGCAGUGUGGUAGGACUGACUUUGGGUUGCAAUGAUUAUAAAUUUAUAAAAAAAAAUUUGCCCCCUCAGAGUUUUCAUGAAUGUUAACUAGAUCUAUUAAAGCUUAAAGGGCUUUCUGAUCAGUUUAUCUCUGCUGUCAAAUUGGCAUUUUUGACAUGUGAUUCGAUGAGGAUUAGCUCUCUUCUGGUGGAUGAGGGUGGAAAUGCAUUUUUUUUUUGCCUCUUCCUUGUUGGCUUCACUUUCAUACCAGAAUUAUGGGGGCUGUCGUGGUGGAAAUUAUUCCAUCUAACCACUCCCUGGUUCUUUGGAGGUGACCCUGAAGAGAGAUCCACACUUUAAGCUAGGGCUGGGCAAUAUGGCCUAAAACUAAUAUCACAAUAUAUUGAGGAUUUAACCUCAAUAAUGAUAAAUGGACCAUAACUGCAGGUAAGUUGUCCACUAGAUGGGGCUGUCACAUGUAUUAUAUUUAGUCACAUUUUUACGCAUCUCAAGGUGGUACAGCUUCUUAAAGGGACAUGAAUGUUGCCCAGCUACACACAUCUUUUCAUUUUUUUAUUAUCAAAUUUAUUGACAUGGGAAAAAUGAUCUCGAUAAGAGCCAGAAAUUUCGAUAACGAUACAUUUUCGAUUUAUUGCCCAGCCCUACUUUAAGCCCAUUAUAAUAUGUACACACACAAAGAUCUUUGGUUGGCUUCUGGUGAGAAGAACACAAGCAGUUCCCUGCCGAUGUAUCUUCUAACUUUCGACUCUUCUCGUCAGCCCUUUUAUUGAAUUGCAUGAAAAUUUUUUUUAAUUUUACAACAGUUCCACAAUAGACUGGGGCGUUCCCACUUCACAGUCAUACACUACUCCUCCUCAUGUGAGCGGUCUUCAUGAGUUCACAGUCUAAAGCACCUUCUGACUUUCCCUGACCCUCAACAUCCAAGACUUUUUCUAAGACUGAACUUGUGAUCUCUGGCUCAGCAACGAGGUCAAAAGUUUAUCAAUCAGACACUUCCCCAUGACAUAACUCGUGAUCUUCUUUUGACCACAAGCAGUAAGAGUCAGGCCAUUGUUAUAGAAACUUUCAACACCAAUGUUUUCUGGAACGUUAUCUCUGUUAGUCUGCAGCACUUCGACAAAGUUUUAUUUCCUUAUAUAUGAAGAUUAAAUGAUUGACCAACACAUUCAUAACCUGACAGCAAUUAGACUGAAGUUGACUAUAUUAGUUUAAACAGAAAAGGUUAUAUUGGUUAAGUGUAAAAAUGAUUAUUCUCAAAAAGAUUAUAUUGAUUAGCUUUAAAAAUGAUUAUGCUGAUUAGGGCUGCAAUGAUUCCUCGAGUAACUCGAAUGAUUCGCUGACAAAAUAUAUUCGAGAAUUUUCCGCUGCCUCGAGGACUCGUUAAAUAGACCAUAGCUGAAUAUCCGGCAUUGCGCAUGGAUUCUUUAUGUGUUGCGCAACGUGGUUACGUCACAGAUUAUACGUGCCAUGUACUCUACUGCACAGCGCGCAGCGGUCUUUUCGUCUUUUCAGCUGGGUAGCCGACAAUGGCAGACGCCAUGGAAAUAAAUGAAAACGAGCAAGACCAAAACGAAGGAUAUAGUAAGCGACAGAAGUUUUCCAAGGCAUGGGAUCACUUUACAUUAAAAAGCAAGGAAAACGCCAUUGUAUGCAAGCAUUGCAAGGUGGAGCUACCACAACAGCACUUCUUCCAUGCUGCU